UUACUCUCACUCAAGUUCAGA
Molecule: non-coding RNA, 21 nt
Filed under: Caenorhabditis elegans
Lineage: Eukaryota; Metazoa; Nematoda; Chromadorea; Rhabditida; Rhabditidae
Source: RNAcentral